AUGUUGACCCGGUAGGUAUUAGAUAUCACUGGGGUUCUGACAGAUGUUGACCCGGUAGGUAUUAGAUAUCACUGGGGUUCUGACAGAUGUUGACCCGGUAGGUAUUAGAUAUCACUGGGGUUCUGACAGAUGUUGACCCGGUGGGUAUUAGAUAUCACUGGGGUUCAGAUGUUGACCCGGUGGGUAUUAGAUAUCACUGGGGUUCUGACAGAUGUUGACCCGGUAGGUAUUAGAUAUCACUGGGGUUCUGACAGAUGUUGACCCGGUGGGUAUUAGAUAUCACUGGGGUUCUGACAGAUGUUGACCCGGUGGGUAUUAGAUAUCACUGGGGUUCUGACAGAUGUUGACCCGGUAGGUAGUAGAUAUCACUGGGGUUCUGACAGAUGUUGACCCGGUGGGUAUUAGAUAUCACUGGGGUUCUGACAGAUGUUGACCCGGUAGGUAUUAGAUAUCACUGGGGUUCUGACAGAUGUUGACCCGGUGGGUAGUAGAUAUCACUGGGGUUCUGACAGAUGUUGACCCGGUAGGUAUUAGAUAUCACUGGGGUUCUGACAGAUGUUGACCCGGUGGGUAGUAGAUAUCACUGGGGUUCUGACAGAUGUUGACCCGGUAGGUAUUAGAUAUCACUGGGGUUCUGACAGAUGUUGACCCGGUGGGUAUUAGAUAUCACUGGGGUUCUGACAGAUGUUGACCCGGUAGGUAUUAGAUAUCACUGGGGUUCAGAUGUUGACCCGGUGGGUAUUAGAUAUCACUGGGGUUCUGACAGAUGUUGACCCGGUAGGUAUUAGAUAUCACUGGGGUUCUGACAGAUGUUGACCCGGUAGGUAGUAGAUAUCACUGGGGUUCUGACAGAUGUUGACCCGGUAGGUAUUAGAUAUCACUGGGGUUCUGACAGAUGUUGACCCGGUGGGUAUUAGAUAUCACUGGGGUUCUGACAGAUGUUGACCCGGUAGGUAUUAGAUAUCACUGGGGUUCUGACAGAUGUUGACCCGGUGGGUAUUAGAUAUCACUGGGGUUCUGACAGAUGUUGACCCGGUGGGUAUUAGAUAUCACUGGGGUUCAGAUGUUGACCCGGUGGGUAUUAGAUAUCACUGGGGUUCAGAUGUUGACCCGGUGGGUAUUAGAUAUCACUGGGGUUCUGACAGAUGUUGACCCGGUAGGUAUUAGAUAUCACUGGGGUUCUGACAGAUGUUGACCCGGUGGGUAUUAGAUAUCACUGGGGUUCUGACAGAUGUUGACCCGGUGGGUAUUAGAUAUCACUGGGGUUCUGACAGAUGUUGACCCGGUGGGUAUUAGAUAUCACUGGGGUUCUGACAGAUGUUGACCCGGUAGGUAUUAGAUAUCACUGGGGUUCAGAUGUUGACCCGGUGGGUAUUAGAUAUCACUGGGGUUCUGACAGAUGUUGACCCGGUAGGUAGUAGAUAUCACUGGGGUUCUGACAGAUGUUGACCCGGUAGGUAUUAGAUAUCACUGGGGUUCUGACAGAUGUUGACCCGGUAGGUAUUAGAUAUCACUGGGGUUCUGACAGAUGUUGACCCGGUGGGUAUUAGAUAUCACUGGGGUUCUGACAGAUGUUGACCCGGUAGGUAUUAGAUAUCACUGGGGUUCUGACAGAUGUUGACCCGGUGGGUAUUAGAUAUCACUGGGGUUCUGACAGAUGUUGACCCGGUAGGUAUUAGAUAUCA
Molecule: long non-coding RNA, 1685 nt
Organism: Oncorhynchus keta (chum salmon)
Lineage: Eukaryota; Metazoa; Chordata; Actinopteri; Salmoniformes; Salmonidae
Exons: 6
Source: RefSeq, a predicted model, not a curated record